RNAcentral lists this ribosomal RNA (458 nucleotides) under uncultured bacterium. RNAcentral describes it as "bacterial SSU rRNA". It matches the Rfam family "Bacterial small subunit ribosomal RNA", at positions 29 to 506 of the family's 1533-position model. The record is from RNAcentral.
AUAAACGCUGGCGGCGUGCAUGAGACAUGCAAGUCGAACGGGUGACUCGGGCUUGCUCGAGUUGCUAGUGGCGGACGGCUGAGUAACGCGUGGGUGACCUGCCCCGAAGUGGGGAAUAACUGCCCGAAAGGGUGGCUAAUACCGCAUGUGGUCGCACGUUCGUUCGUGCGAGUAAAGCCGCAAGGCGCUUUGGGAGGGGCCUGCGUCCGAUUAGCUCGUUGGUGGGGUAAUGGCUCACCAAGGCGACGAUCGGUAGGUGGUCUGAGAGGACGAUCACCCAGACUGGGACUGAGACACGGCCCAGACUCCUACGGGAGGCAGCAGUCGGGAAUUUUGCUCAAUGGGCGCAAGCCUGAAGCAGCAACGCCGCGUGAGGGAUGAAGGCCUUCGGGUUGUAAACCUCUUUUGUCAGGGACGAUAAUGACGGUACCUGGCGAAUAAGCCACGGCUAACUACGU